Molecule: ribosomal RNA, 789 nt
Filed under: uncultured bacterium
Lineage: Bacteria
Description: bacterial SSU rRNA
Rfam family: Bacterial small subunit ribosomal RNA
Source: RNAcentral
UAGCUAGAGUAUNUCAGAGGGGGGUAGAAUUCCACGUGUAGCAGUGAAAUGCGUAGAGAUGUGGAGGAAUACCGAUGGCGAAGGCAGCCUCCUGGGAUAAUACUGACGUUCAUGCCCGAAAGCGUGGGUAGCAAACAGGAUUAGAUACCCUGGUAGUCCACGCCCUAAACGAUGUCGAUUAGCUGUUGGGCAACUUGAUUGCUUAGUAGCGAAGCUAACGCGUGAAAUCGACCGCCUGGGGAGUACGGUCGCAAGAUUAAAACUCAAAGGAAUUGACGGGGACCCGCACAAGCGGUGGAUGAUGUGGAUUAAUUCGAUGCAACGCGAAGAACCUUACCUGGUCUUGACAUGUACGGAACCUUCCAGAGACGGAAGGGUGCCUUCGGGAGCCGUAACACAGGUGCUGCAUGGCUGUCGUCAGCUCGUGUCGUGAGAUGUUGGGUUAAGUCCCGCAACGAGCGCAACCCUUGUCAUUAGUUGCCAUCAUUAAGUUGGGCACUCUAAUGAGACUGCCGGUGACAAACCGGAGGAAGGUGGGGAUGACGUCAAGUCCUCAUGGCCCUUAUGACCAGGGCUUCACACGUCAUACAAUGGUCGGUACAGAGGGUAGCCAAGCCGCGAGGCGGAGCCAAUCCCAGAAAACCGAUCGUAGUCCGGAUUGCACUCUGCAACUCGAGUGCAUGAAGUCGGAAUCGCUAGUAAUCGCAGGUCAGCAUACUGCGGUGAAUACGUUCCCGGGUCUUGUACACACCGCCCGUCACACCAUGGGAGUGGGGGAUACCAGAAGCA